CCUACGGGUGGCAGCAGUGAGGAAUAUUGGUCAAUGGGCGGGAGCCUGAACCAGCCAAGUCGCGUGAGGGAAGACGGUCCUAUGGAUUGUAAACCUCUUUAGGCGGGGAGCAAUGCCGGGCACGCGUGCCCGGAGGGAGAGUACCCGCAGAAUAAGCAUCGGCAAACCCCGUGCCAGCAGCGGCGGUAAUAGGGGGGUUGCAAGCGUUAUCGGGUUUUAUUGGGUUAAAAGGGUGCGUGGGCGGAUUUUUAAGUCGGCGGUAAAAUGUCCGGGCUCAACCCGGGCCGGCCGUUGAAACUGGCGGUCUUGAGUGGGCGAGAAGUAUGCGGAAUGCGUGGUGUAGCGGUGAAAUGCAUAGAUAUCACGCAGAACUCCGAUUGCGAAGGCAGCAUACCGGCGCCCGACUGACGCUGAGGCACGAAAGCGUGGGGAUCGAACAGGAUUAGAUACCCCAGUAGUC
This 460-nucleotide ribosomal RNA is filed under the name uncultured bacterium. Its description in RNAcentral is "partial 16S ribosomal RNA". It matches the Rfam family "Bacterial small subunit ribosomal RNA", at positions 338 to 795 of the family's 1533-position model. The record is from RNAcentral.